Entamoeba invadens IP1 is the source of this 74-nucleotide transfer RNA. It matches the Rfam family "tRNA". Rfam says of the family: Transfer RNA (tRNA) molecules are approximately 80 nucleotides in length. Their secondary structure includes four short double-helical elements and three loops (D, anti-codon, and T loops). Further hydrogen bonds mediate the characteristic L-shaped molecular structure. tRNAs have two regions of fundamental functional importance: the anti-codon, which is responsible for specific mRNA codon recognition, and the 3' end, to which the tRNAs corresponding amino acid is attached (by aminoacyl-tRNA synthetases). tRNAs cope with the degeneracy of the genetic code in two manners: having more than one tRNA (with a specific anti-codon) for a particular amino acid; and 'wobble' base-pairing, i.e. permitting non-standard base-pairing at the 3rd anti-codon position. The record is from Rfam. Lineage: Eukaryota; Evosea; Mastigamoebida; Endamoebidae.
GGUUUCAUGGUGUAGUUGGUUAUCACAUCACUUUUACGUAGUGAGGGUCCCCGGUUCAAACCCGGGUGGAACCA